Hordeum vulgare subsp. vulgare (domesticated barley) is the source of this 799-nucleotide long non-coding RNA. RefSeq lists it as uncharacterized. Lineage: Eukaryota; Viridiplantae; Streptophyta; Magnoliopsida; Poales; Poaceae. The transcript is spliced from 5 exons. The record is from RefSeq and is a predicted model, not a curated record.
GCCGCCGCCGCCCACCCCUGCACCGCCACGCCCAGCCCUGCUCCGCCGCCGCCAUGCCCAGCCCCUGGCACACCUUCUGCUCAACCGACGCGGCCGUGGGUCGCCGUCAACGCCCCUUGCUCCUCCUCUCCUCCCUGAUGGACGUGAGCGCGGGUCUCCGGCCGGCGGGCGGCGGCACCGAAACGAGCGAAGCUGAGCAGUGGGGGUGGUGGAUUGGUCAUGAGGACAACGCAGAGCACGAGCAGCGGCUAAUUGCGCUCGCGAUAGUGAUGGUUGUAAUCCUUUAUUCAAUCAGUGUUGUAAUCGUUUAUUCAAUGUCCCCUGCAAAUUCUGACGUGCGUCCAUGAUGCUGCCAGCGUGCUGUGCGUGUUGGAUGAAUCAUCGAGGGCAUGCGCGGCUGGCCGGUCGGCUGGCAUGUGUGCUCUACGUGUGUGUUGACUCAGUUUCCAUGCUUUUCCUCCAUAUACACACCUCAAGCUGGGGAUUGGGAAGCACAGAUGGGACAGAAAGCUGCUACAAUGCUUCGUGAACAACUACGCAGAGUUCAGCAGCAAGAAGGAUUGGUAAACCUCUCAUCUGUGGAGUGAUAUUGAUUUGUCAAGAGCUAUCAAAAGGCAAGGAACCAUCUUGCGCUCAACCAGAUUCAUACUUUCCCAUUAAGAUCAUAUAGUUUUAGCCGCACAAUUUAUAGUUAGAGCAUAACGAGCACUCAUAUUUGGAUUAUGUUCCUUGAUCCGCCUAUGUAAAAUAUUUGUAUGUACUUGAAUUGCAGUUUGACAUCUAAGGCCCUGUUUGGAAU